Gadus macrocephalus (Pacific cod) is the source of this 568-nucleotide long non-coding RNA. RefSeq lists it as uncharacterized. The record is from RefSeq and is a predicted model, not a curated record. The transcript is spliced from 2 exons. NCBI's taxonomy places the organism in Eukaryota, Metazoa, Chordata, Actinopteri, Gadiformes, Gadidae.
UAUGUUUUGUCUUGUACUUCCAGCCUCUACCUGGCUGCUAUGCAUUCAAAUCACAAUGUGGACCGACCACAGGCCGAAACAAAGGAAGGAGUACCGAUUUAUAAAAUCUCCUUUGCAAAGGCUAGGAAGGGAGAGUGCAGAGCUAAACCACAAAAAACACAGCAGACCUUUGGUUACGUUGAUGACAUCAUGGAUGUCAUUUUUGAGGAAGUCUUUCCCAACCCUACGCCAUACACAGAGGCCCUGUUGGAGAUCCCUGUUCCAGAGCCCCUAACGGCACAGUAUGAGAAGCCUGACAAGGUAGCGGUCAUCAGCAGCCUCGUAUCAAGGUUCAAACAGGGGGACGUUUAAAACCGACAUAGUGGCCUUCCUCAGCAGGAAACUCGGAGCGGAUACGCAGGACCACACAAGCUGGAAUCACAACCCGGAUACUGCGUCCCAGGAGGCCCCAGCACCAGCUCACAAAGGAACGAUAGGAGAGAUACCAGUAGCGACUGAACAAUUGAUUCAGAGAUUAAGUCUUGCAGAUUUAUCAUUGCUUUGUGUUAUGAAAAUAAAUAUUACUAUG